Molecule: ribosomal RNA, 305 nt
Filed under: uncultured bacterium
Lineage: Bacteria
Description: bacterial SSU rRNA
Rfam family: Bacterial small subunit ribosomal RNA
Source: RNAcentral
UGGACCUACGGGAGGCAGCAGUGGGGGAUAUUGCACAAUGGGCGAAAGCCUGAUGCAGCGACGCCGCGUGUGGGAAGACGGUCCUCGGAUUGUAAACCACUGGCUUUGGGGACGAUAAUGACGGUACCCAAGGAGGAAGCUCCGGCUAACUACGUGCCAGCAGCCGCGGUAAUACGUAGGGAGCGAGCGUUGUCCGGAAUUACUGGGUGUAAAGGGUGCGUAGGCGGCUGUGCAAGUCAGUAGUGAAAUCCAUGGGCUUAACCCAUGAACUGCUAUUGAAACUGCACAGCUUGAGUGAAGUAGAG